Molecule: RNA transcript, 1335 nt
Organism: Aricia agestis (brown argus)
Lineage: Eukaryota; Metazoa; Arthropoda; Insecta; Lepidoptera; Lycaenidae
Gene name: clavesin-2-like
Exons: 7
Source: RefSeq, a predicted model, not a curated record
UUAGUAAUUUAGUAGCGCUGCGGCACUCGAAGAGGUGUAACAUCGCCUCACCGCUCACAAUUCACAGUAAAUAAAUAUCAUAAAUUAGAUUUUAAUAAUAAUAGUGAAUAAGUGUUAAUUAAGUCGUGUUGGAUAUUUGCAGUUAGUAAAACAGACACCAAACCAUGGCAACCUCAGUUCUCCAGCCCGAAGACUGCCGGCGGGAGCACGAGCCGAAGCCCGACGCGCCGCGGCUGACCGACGACGAGAGGCUGAGCAUCCUUGAGGCCAACGAGCGGGAGACCGGGGAUCUGCCCGCAGACCUGAAGGAGCGAGCCAGGGUGGAGAUACGAGAGGAACCCGCCAUACGGGACCAUGCGCUCGCACAGAUGAGACACUUCAUCGACAAACAUCCGGCCAUCAGAAAAUGCAGGACAGAUGGACCAUUCCUGCUGAGGUUCCUUCGGACCAAAAAAUACUCCGUUCCGCAAGCCUGCUCCAUGCUAGAGAGAUACCUGACCAUCCGGCAAAUGCACCCCAACUGGUUCCAGAAGUUGGAUCCCCUGGACCCGAAGAUAGCUGCCGUGAUCGACGCUGGGUACCUGGUUCCUCUGCCGAAAAGAGACUCCGAAGGCCGUCGAGUCGUGUUGUCGUGCAUGGGUCGUUUCGACCCUUACCUCUACGACAGCUCCACGAUGGCGCGGGUCCACUCCAUGAUCGUGGAGCUGCUGCUGGACGAGCCGCGGUCGCAGCUGCUGGGCUACUCGCACGUCAACGACGAGGCCGGCAUGCAGAUGCCUCACGUUAGCCUGUGGUCUCUCAACGACGUCAGAGUCAUGCUGAACUGUAUCCAGAACUCAACUCCGAUGCGGCACAAGCAAACUCAUUUUGUGAACAUCCCUCAGUAUGGCGUAAAAUUCUUCGAGUUCGCCGUAUCCCUCUUGAGUGACAAGCUGAAGGAUCGUGUGAUGUUCCAUCGAACUUCAGAGGAUCUAACUAAAUACGUGGACGCCUCUAUUCUGCCGAAGGAGUAUGGUGGCACUGUUCCCCUCAAAGAAAUGAUUGAAGAGUUGAAGCGAAAACUUCUGAAGCACAGGCAAGACCUGAUGGCAUUGGACGACAUGUGCGUCGAUCUGCACGCGCUGGAGAAGAAUGAUUUGACUCAGGACAUACACUCCACUGCAGGAUCUUUCAGAAAACUUGAGUUAGAUUAGUAGAAGAUCUGGAAGGAACUAGAAGUAUGAUUUGUCAACAAGAAUGUGAUUAUUUAUUAUAGCCUUUGUAAUGGCGAUUAUUAUUCUAAUCGCAAAUCAUCAGUGACGGGAAAAUUAUUUUCUCAGAGUCAAAGAAGGUUAU